Molecule: long non-coding RNA, 746 nt
Organism: Zingiber officinale
Lineage: Eukaryota; Viridiplantae; Streptophyta; Magnoliopsida; Zingiberales; Zingiberaceae
Exons: 4
Source: RefSeq, a predicted model, not a curated record
CUCGCCGAACCCGCGUGCCCAGCCUCGCCGACACUGCUUUCUUCGCGUGCCCUAACCGGGUCACGGUAGUUUUUCCCCUCUCAGCGUACAAAACCACUCGGCCAAGGGUUUUGCAUCUUCCCUCUCACGCCGCUGUCUUCCUCCACUCACUCUCCGCCGCGCCUAUCUCCAAUCGCCAGCCACCCGAGCAGCGCCGAUCAAGCCGAGGUUUCCUCAGCCCUAGCGUCGGCCUCUUCUCCUCCUACUCGAGCAGUCCCUCUGUGCCCUAGCAUCUCCGCCGACGCCGAACAGUGCCGACCUUCCCUCCUCUGCCUACCGAUCCCUCUCCUUCUCCCGACGCCGAGCAGCGCCGAGUCUAGCCUCCCCGCAGUCCCCAGCGCCGACCACCGCAGUGCCGCGACCCUUUCCCUCUUUGGAGCUGUGCGCCGACGCCGACCCACUUUCGCCGGCCACCAGGUCCGACCUCAGGCGCCUCCGACUCCACUGAUCACCAGGUGCUGUCGCGCAACCGAUGGGCCUAGUAGUGCCCUAGUUCUCGCCGCCGCAACCACCUAGCCUCUGUGCUGCUUGCUGCCACAGAAGAGGGAGGUUCUUGGUUGUGGUUUGAGUGUGGAGGGUUUCCAGCAACAGUUACUUCGUCCAGCAGUAACUUUCCUUGCCUGUGGUGUAACAGGAGCAGCUGAGAAGUAAGGAGUUUGACGCGAGACGAGUAUCUCGAUUAUCGGAUUGGACCUUUUCGAUUGGAG